This 837-nucleotide non-coding RNA is filed under the name Caenorhabditis japonica. RNAcentral's name for it is "Eukaryotic small subunit ribosomal RNA". It matches the Rfam family "Eukaryotic small subunit ribosomal RNA", at positions 1 to 883 of the family's 1831-position model. Lineage: Eukaryota; Metazoa; Nematoda; Chromadorea; Rhabditida; Rhabditidae. The record is from Rfam by way of RNAcentral.
UACCUGAUUGAUUCUGUCAGCGCGAUAUGCUCAAGUAAAAGAUUAAGCCAUGCAUGCUUUGAUUCAUAAAUGAAAUUGCGUACGGCUCAUUAGAGCAGAUAUCACCUUUCUCGGAAUCCUGAAAAGGAUAACUGCGGAAAUUCUGGAGCUAAUACAUGCGACUAUACUCCAACGCAAGGCGGGGUGCAAUUAUUAGAACAGACCAAACGUUUUCGGACGUUGUUUGUUGACUCUGAAUACCGUCGUUUACUGUCAGUUUCGACUGACUCUAUCCGAGAAGGGUGUCUGCCCUUUCAACUAGAUGGUAAUCUAUUGGACUACCAUGGUUGUUACGGGUAACGGAGAAUUAGGGUUCGACUCCGGAGAGGGAGCCUUAGAAACGGCUACCACGUCCAAGGAAGGCAGCAGGCGCGAAACUUAUCCACUGUUGAGUAUGAGAUAGUGACUAAAAAUAUAAAGACUCAUCCUUUUGGAUGAGUUAUUUCAAUGAGUUGAAUAUAAAUUAUUCUUCGAGUAGCAAGGAGAGGGCAAGUCUGGUGCCAGCAGCCGCGGUAAUUCCAGCUCUCCUAGUGUAUCUCGUUAUUGCUGCGGUUAAAAAGCUCGUAGUUGGAUCUAGGUUACGUGCCGCAGUUCGCAAUUUGCGUUAACUGUGGUCGUGACUUCUAAUUUGCUGGUUUGAGGUUGGGUUCGCCCUUCAACCGCCAGCAGGUUUACCUUGAAUAAAUCAGAGUGCUCAAUACAGGCGCUUGCUUGAAUAGCUCAUCAUGGAAUAAUGAAACAGGACUUCGGUUCUUUUUGUUGGUUCUAGAAUUGAUCUAAUGGUUAAGAGGGACAAAC